RNAcentral lists this ribosomal RNA (1177 nucleotides) under uncultured Methanomassiliicoccales archaeon. RNAcentral's name for it is "bacterial SSU rRNA". It matches the Rfam family "Archaeal small subunit ribosomal RNA", at positions 134 to 1308 of the family's 1478-position model. Lineage: Archaea; Methanobacteriati; Thermoplasmatota; Thermoplasmata; Methanomassiliicoccales. The record is from RNAcentral.
GGGUAACUGAAGGAUCAUUACCCUUAUUAGGUUUCCCGAUGCUGGAAUGCUCGGUAACUCAAAGUUUCCGGCGCCUUAGGAUGGAUUCUGCGGCCGAUUAGGUUGUUGUUGGGGUAACGGCCCAACAAGCCCGUAAUCGGUACGGGUUGUGGGAGCAAGAGCCCGGAGUUGGAUUCUGAGACACGAAUCCAGGCCCUACGGGGCGCAGCAGGCGCGAAAACUUUACAAUGCGGGCAACCGUGAUAAGGGAACCUCGAGUGCCUGUACAUGCAGGCUGUCUGGGUGUCUAAAACACACCCAAAGAAAGGGCCGGGCAAGACCGGUGCCAGCCGCCGCGGUAAUACCGGCGGCUCGAGUGGUGGCCACUUUUAUUGGGCUUAAAGCGUUCGUAGCUGGGUUGUUAAGUCUCUUGGGAAAUCCGGCGGCUUAACCGUCGGGCGUCUAAGAGAUACUGGCAAUCUUGGAACCGGGAGAGGUGAGGGGUACUUCGGGGGUAGGAGUGAAAUCCUGUAAUCCUCGAGGGACCACCUGGUGGCGAAGGCGCCUCACCAGAACGGCUUCGACAGUGAGGGACGAAAGCUGGGGGAGCAAACCGGAUUAGAUACCCGGGUAGUCCCAGCCGUAAACGAUGUGCGUUAGGUGUAUCGACGACCACGAGUCGUCGAGGUGCCGAAGGGAAACCGUGAAACGUACCGCCUGGGAAGUACGGUCGCAAGGCUGAAACUUAAAGGAAUUGGCGGGGGAGCACCACAACAGGUGGAGCCUGCGGUUUAAUUGGACUCAACGCCGGGAAGCUCACCGGAUAGGACAGCGGAAUGAUUGCCGGGCUGAAGACUCUGCAUGACUAGCUGAGAGGAGGUGCAUGGCCGUCGUCAGUUCGUACUGUGAAGCAUCCUGUUAAGUCAGGCAACGAGCGAGACCCACGCCAACAGUUGCCAGCACGAUCCCCGGAUCGGUGGGGACACUGUUGGGACCGCCUCUGCUAAAGAGGAGGAAGGAAUGGGCAACGGUAGGUCAGCAUGCCCCGAAUUAUCCGGGCUACACGCGGGCUACAAUGGGCAGGACAAUGGGUAUCGACACCGAAAGGUGAAGGCAAUCUCCUAAACCUGUCCGUAGUUCGGAUUGUGGGCUGUAACUCGCCCACAUGAAGCUGGAAUCUGUAGUAAUCGCGUCAAAA